RNAcentral lists this ribosomal RNA (253 nucleotides) under uncultured bacterium. RNAcentral's name for it is "partial 16S ribosomal RNA". It matches the Rfam family "Bacterial small subunit ribosomal RNA", at positions 524 to 776 of the family's 1533-position model. The record is from RNAcentral.
GACGGAGGGUGCUAGCGUUGUUCGGAAUUACUGGGCGUAAAGGGCGCGUAGGCGGCCCGCUAAGUCGAACGUGAAAUCCCCGAGCUCAACUCGGGAACUGCGUCCGAUACUGGCGGGCUUGAAUCCGGGAGAGGGAUGCGGAAUUCCAGGUGUAGCGGUGAAAUGCGUAGAUAUCUGGAGGAACACCGGUGGCGAAGGCGGCAUCCUGGACCGGCAUUGACGCUGAGGCGCGAAAGCUAGGGGAGCAAACGGG